CCGCAGCGAGUGCCGGGGGUUGGAUGCGGGUCUGUCCAGCCGCGUUCCCGAAGCUCACGUCAUGCUAUGGCUGCGCCUGCGCUGAGUGUGGCCCCUCCCUGCAGCGGGGCGGAACCGAGUUGCUCAGGGCGCGGUGUCCGCGGGGGGCUGGUUUUGAAAAGGACCGCGCCUCCCGGAAGUGUUGGGGCGGGGUCAAAUGCAGGAGGCGGCGGCGCGGAGCCUGCGGCGGGGCUUGGAGAGGCUGCGGCCGCUCGUGAAGAAUAAGACGCUGCGAUAUGGGGUCCCCAUGAUGCUCCUGAUUAUUGGUGGGUCCUUUGGUCUCCGUGAGUUCACUCAAAUCCGUUAUGAUGCUCAAAAACUCCACAGCAAGAUGGAUCCAGCUUUGGAAGAAAGAAUCAGAAAGAAUAAGAUAACAUUGGAAUCUGAAUAUGAGCUCCAAUUCUUGUAUAGAGUUAAAUGGCUGCCUGGUUCCAUCCCAGAUGUGUCUACAAAGGUGAAGUGAUUGCAGUAUCCUUUUGGAUCCCUCAGAAAGAAAGGAACCCUGAUACCACUAAAUUUGGAACAAAGACUACUGAAAUAUUUUCUUGUUUUCAUUUCCUUAGAUACUGUACAUAUUUGAAACACCCUGUGCUAAACUGAAAAGCUCUGACUUUGAUGACUGGAAGAACGUCAGAGGGCCCCGUCCAUGGGAGGAUUCCAAGUCUCUUCAAGAGCAGCAGCAGCAAGUUCUUCAUUCCAAGCCAUCUUGACUGUGUGCUCUCACUCCAGUAUCUUUAUAGAAUCACUGCUAUGCCAGUGACUGGGCUUUCUUGCUUUCUAAUCCUGUGUCCAGGGAGAGACAUGGGUGGGGAAAAAACAAGUUGACAGGUGGCUUACUUGAGAUCAAUCUGAGAUGAAAUGUUAACUAAAGAUCUUUGUUCAAUUGCAUCCAUUUGCAUGGAAGCCCACAGACUGUGUAUAUUAAUUCUUAAUAAAGAUCAGCCCAUUCUUUCA
Chrysemys picta bellii (western painted turtle) is the source of this 993-nucleotide RNA transcript. It is a transcript of the gene named cytochrome c oxidase assembly protein COX16 homolog, mitochondrial, with no coding region annotated. NCBI's taxonomy places the organism in Eukaryota, Metazoa, Chordata, Testudines, Emydidae. The record is from RefSeq and is a predicted model, not a curated record.